UACAGAGGGGGCAAGCGUUAUUCGGAAUUAUUGGGCGUAAAGGGCGCGUAGGCGGCUUUGCAAGUGACGGGUGAAAUCCCACGGCUUAACCGUGGAACUGCCUGUCAGACUGCAUGGCUUGAGACCAGGAGAGGUGAGUGGAAUUCCCAGUGUAGCGGUGAAAUGCGUAGAUAUUGGGAGGAACACCAGUGGCGAAGGCGGCUCACUGGACUGGUAUUGACGCUGAGGCGCGAAAGCCAGGGGAGCAAACGGG
This 253-nucleotide ribosomal RNA is filed under the name uncultured bacterium. RNAcentral's name for it is "partial 16S ribosomal RNA". It matches the Rfam family "Bacterial small subunit ribosomal RNA", at positions 524 to 776 of the family's 1533-position model. The record is from RNAcentral.